This 970-nucleotide ribosomal RNA is filed under the name Candidatus Arthromitus sp. SFB-mouse. Its description in RNAcentral is "bacterial SSU rRNA". It matches the Rfam family "Bacterial small subunit ribosomal RNA", at positions 28 to 1009 of the family's 1533-position model. Lineage: Bacteria; Bacillati; Bacillota; Clostridia; Eubacteriales; Clostridiaceae. The record is from RNAcentral.
GACGAACGCUGGCGGCGUGCCUAACACAUGCAAGUUGAAGCGGAGGUAGAUGGAGCUUGCUUUAUGUACCUUAGCAGCGAACGGGUGAGUAACACGUAGAUAAUCUGUCCUAUAUUGGGGGAUAGCCCGAUGAAAGUUGGAUUAAUACCGCAUACAGCUAUAUAGUUGCAUGAUUAUAUAGUGAAAGAUUUAUUGAUAUAGGAGGAGUCUGCGGCACAUUAGCUAGUAGGUGAGGUAAGAGCUUACCUAGGCGACGAUGUGUAGCCGGUCUGAGAGGAUGAACGGCCACAAUGGAACUGAGACACGGUCCAUACUCCUACGGGAGGCAGCAGUGGGGAAUAUUGCACAAUGGGGGAAACCCUGAUGCAGCAACGCCGCGUGAGUGAAGAAGGUUUUCGGAUUGUAAAGCUCUGUUAGCAGGGAAGAGGAAGGACGGUACCUGCAGAGGAAGCCACGGCUAACUACGUGCCAGCAGCCGCGGUAAUACGUAGGUGGCAAGCGUUGUUCGGAAUAACUGGGCGUAAAGGAUGCGUAGGCGGUUAAAUAAGUUAUAUGUUAAAUAUAUAGGCUUAACCUGUAGAAAGCAUAUAAAACUGUUUAACUAGAGUGCAGGAGAGGUAAGUGGAAUUCCUAGUGUAGCGGUGAAAUGCGUAGAGAUUAGGAAGAACACCAGUGGCGAAGGCGACUUACUGGACUGUAACUGACGCUGAGGCAUGAGAGCAUGGGGAGCAAACAGGAUUAGAUACCCUGGUAGUCCAUGCUGUAAACGAUGGGUACUAGGUGUGGGUUGUGAAUAACAAUCCGUGCCGUCGCAAACGCAAUAAGUACCCCGCCUGAGGAGUACGAUCGCAAGAUUAAAACUCAAAGGAAUUGACGGGGACCCGCACAAGCAGCGGAGCAUGUGGUUUAAUUCGAAGCAACGCGAAGAACCUUACCUAAACUUGACAUACCUUGAAUUACCUUGUAAUGA